GCCCGGGUGGCGCAGCCGGUAACGCGUUUGGUUAUCAGCCAGAUGACCCCAGGUUCGAUUCCACCAGAGGUA
Non-coding RNA from Caenorhabditis brenneri, 72 nucleotides. Lineage: Eukaryota; Metazoa; Nematoda; Chromadorea; Rhabditida; Rhabditidae. The record is from the annotation of a GenBank genome assembly.